UCGAUCUUAUUUUGUCGGGUUUAUUUUUAAGCCUAACUUCUUGAAUACCGAGAGCUUUUGAGUGAAGUCAAACUUGAUUUCUUACCAAUAGAUGACUAUACUGUUUGGUGGGUCGUCUGUCAGUAUAAAUUCAAUGUUUACCACAUGUGAUGGCAUUCGCGUUACGUUUAAGUCAAGAUCUACUCUACAGUGGGAAAAUUUUUUCGUAGAACAAAUAUCUCCUAGAGCUAUGUGGUGCAAUAUCAUUCCGAUGUGACGUGACACUACUGGUUGGUGGGGUAAGCUAGGGACACAUCUUUUCCAUUUUCCCAUCCAAUCUGUCAAACAACUUUGAUUGUUUGUUAUGACUACAGCAACAUUCCCUAUGUAACCCAACAAUACAAAACUUACCACUGUAAACCCGAAAGACA
Molecule: long non-coding RNA, 410 nt
Organism: Daphnia carinata
Lineage: Eukaryota; Metazoa; Arthropoda; Branchiopoda; Diplostraca; Daphniidae
Exons: 3
Source: RefSeq, a predicted model, not a curated record